This 460-nucleotide ribosomal RNA is filed under the name uncultured bacterium. RNAcentral describes it as "partial 16S ribosomal RNA". It matches the Rfam family "Bacterial small subunit ribosomal RNA", at positions 338 to 795 of the family's 1533-position model. The record is from RNAcentral.
CCUACGGGAGGCUGCAGUGAGGAAUAUUGGUCAAUGGACGAGAGUCUGAACCAGCCAAGUAGCGUGAAGGAUGACUGCCCUAUGGAUUGUACACUUCUUUUAUAAAGGAAUAAAACGCGGCACGUGUGCCUUUUUGCAUGUACUUUAUGAAUAAGGAUCGUCUAACUCCGUGCCAGCAGCCGCGGUAAUACGGAGGAUCCGAGCGUUAUCCGGAUUUAUUGGGUUUAAAGGGAGCGUAGAUGGGUUUUUAAGUCAGUUGUGAAAGUUUGCGGCUCAAACGUAAAAUUGCAGUUGAAACUGGCAGUAUUGAGUACAGUAGAGGUGGGCGGAAUUCGUGGUGUAGCGGUGAAAUGCUUAGAUAUCACGAAGAACCCCGAUUGCGAAGGCAGUUCACUGGACUGCAACUGACACUGAGGCUCGAAAGUGUGGGUAUCAAACAGGAUUAGAUACCCUUGUAGUC